UGCUUAUCUUCAUUCGAUCCUAGUGAGCCU
This 30-nucleotide non-coding RNA is filed under the name Mus musculus (house mouse). The record is from RNAcentral. Lineage: Eukaryota; Metazoa; Chordata; Mammalia; Rodentia; Muridae.